Molecule: ribosomal RNA, 498 nt
Filed under: uncultured bacterium
Lineage: Bacteria
Description: partial 16S ribosomal RNA
Rfam family: Bacterial small subunit ribosomal RNA
Source: RNAcentral
AUUGAACGCUGGCGGCAUGCUUUACACAUGCAAGUCGAACGGUAACAGGCCGCAAGGUGCUGACGAGUGGCGAACGGGUGAGUAAUGCAUCGGAACGUGCCCAGUCGUGGGGGAUAACGCAGCGAAAGCUGUGCUAAUACCGCAUACGAUCUAUGGAUGAAAGCGGGGGACCGUAAGGCCUCGCGCGAUUGGAGCGGCCGAUGUCAGAUUAGGUAGUUGGUGGGGUAAAGGCCUACCAAGCCGACGAUCUGUAGCUGGUCUGAGAGGACGACCAGCCACACUGGGACUGAGACACGGCCCAGACUCCUACGGGAGGCAGCAGUGGGGAAUUUUGGACAAUGGGAGCAACCCUGAUCCAGCAAUACCGCGUGCAGGAAGAAGGCCUUCGGGUUGUAAACUGCUUUUGUACGGAACGAAACGGUCUGGGUUAAUACCCUGGGCUAAUGACGGUACCGUAAGAAUAAGCACCGGCUAACUACGUGCCAGCCGCCGCAGUAA